This 253-nucleotide ribosomal RNA is filed under the name uncultured bacterium. Its description in RNAcentral is "partial 16S ribosomal RNA". It matches the Rfam family "Bacterial small subunit ribosomal RNA", at positions 524 to 776 of the family's 1533-position model. The record is from RNAcentral.
UACGUAGGGGGCUAGCGUUGUCCGGAAUCAUUGGGCGUAAAGCGCGUGUAGGCGGCCCGGUAAGUCCGCUGUGAAAGUCUAGGGCUCAACCCUGGGAUGCCGGUGGAUACUGUCGGGCUCGAGUCCGGAAGAGGCGAGUGGAAUUCCUGGUGUAGCGGUGAAAUGCGCAGAUAUCAGGAGGAACACCAAUGGCGAAGGCAGCUCGCUGGGCCUGUACUGACGCUGAGGAGCGAAAGCGUGGGGAGCGAACAGG